This 392-nucleotide ribosomal RNA is filed under the name uncultured bacterium. Its description in RNAcentral is "partial 16S ribosomal RNA". It matches the Rfam family "Bacterial small subunit ribosomal RNA", at positions 523 to 918 of the family's 1533-position model. The record is from RNAcentral.
AUACGUAGGUGGCAAGCGUUAUCCGGAAUUAUUGGGCGUAAAGAGGGAGCAGGCGGCAGCAAGGGUCUGUGGUGAAAGCCUGAAGCUUGACUUCAGUAAGCCAUAGAAACCAGGCAGCUAGAGUGCAGGAGAGGAUCGUGGAAUUCCAUGUGUAGCGGUGAAAUGCGUAGAUAUAUGGAGGAACACCAGUGGCGAAGGCGACGAUCUGGCCUGCAACUGACGCUCAGUCCCGAAAGCGUGGGGAGCAAAUAGGAUUAGAUACCCUAGUAGUCCACGCCGUAAACGAUGAGUACUAAGUGUUGGAUGUCAAAGUUCAGUGCUGCAGUUAACGCAAUAAGUACUCCGCCUGAGUAGUACGUUCGCAAGAAUGAAACUCAAAGGAAUUGACGGGG